This 396-nucleotide ribosomal RNA is filed under the name uncultured Glomeromycotina. RNAcentral describes it as "partial 18S ribosomal RNA". It matches the Rfam family "Eukaryotic small subunit ribosomal RNA", at positions 693 to 1092 of the family's 1831-position model. The record is from RNAcentral. Lineage: Eukaryota; Fungi; Glomeromycota.
UCCCCCCUUCUGGAGAAGCCUAGAGGUCAUUAAUUGGUGGUUCCGGGAAAUCAGGACGGUUACUUUUAAAAAAUUAAAUGGUUUAAGCCAGGCAACCCCUGGAAAACUUUACCUGGAAAAAAGGAAAAAGAACUUUGAACCUAUUUUGUUGGUUUCUAGGAUCGACGUAAUGAUUAAUAGGGAUAGUUGGGGGCAUUAGUAUUCAAUUGUCAGAGGUGAAAUUCUUGGAUUUAUUGAAGACUGACUACUGCGAAAGCAUUUGCCAAGGAUGUUUUCAUUAAUCAAGAACGAAAGUUAGGGGAUCGAAACGAUCAAAUACCGUCGUAUCUUAACCAUAAACUAUGCCGACAAGGGAUCGGAUGAUGUUAUUUUUAAUGACUCAUUCGGCGCCUUACG